Molecule: ribosomal RNA, 425 nt
Filed under: uncultured bacterium
Lineage: Bacteria
Description: bacterial SSU rRNA
Rfam family: Bacterial small subunit ribosomal RNA
Source: RNAcentral
GAAUAUUGGACAAUGGGCGCAAGCCUGAUCCAGCCAUGCCGCGUGUGUGAAGAAGGCCUUCGGGUUGUAAAGCACUUUUGUACGGGAAGAAAUCUCUUGGGUUAAUACCCUGGGAGGAUGACGGUACCGUAAGCAUAAGCACCGGCCAACUUCGUGCCAGCAGCCGGGGUAAUACGAAGGGUGCAAGCGUUACUCGGAAUUACUGGGCGAAAAGCGUGCGUAGGUGGUUCGGUAAGUCUGCCGUGAAAGCCCCGGGCUCAACCUGGGAAUUGCGGUGGAUAAUGGCGGACUAGAGUGCGGUAGAGGGUGGUGGAAUUCCCGGUGGAGCAGUGAAAUGCGUAGAGAUCGGGAGGAACAUCUGUGGCGAAGGCGGCCACCUGGACCAGCACUUACACUGAGGCACGAAAGCGUGGGGAGCAAACAGG